CUCCACCUGGUUGUUAAUAAUCAAGUAGCUUUUGUUUACACUUCAAGUUGCGUUAAUACUACAUUUGGACAAUAUUUGGACAACAAAACUUGUAUAACACUGAAAUGCUUAAUCGCUGAUUGGGUUUACUCGUUUUUUCUGAAUGAGCUUACUUCUUGAACAGUUUCUUUUAUAUUCUUUGUGUCCAUAAUUCCUUUACUCCUAUUCAGCCCAGUUUUGGUUAUUUUGUGAGUGAAUAUCAUUUCAAACAAAGCCUUAUGAUCAAAGCGAAAUCCCGAUAACUGAUUUUAUCCUGUUGAAGUUUCAGUCUUUUUACUUGUUUUACCAUCCAGUUUUUUAAUCAUUCACUCAGGCAACUUUGGAAAGGAACUAAUACUCGUUUAAUACGAAGCCAACCAUAAUUCUCUUACAAAAA
Tetranychus urticae (two-spotted spider mite) is the source of this 415-nucleotide non-coding RNA. Lineage: Eukaryota; Metazoa; Arthropoda; Arachnida; Trombidiformes; Tetranychidae. The record is from RefSeq and is a predicted model, not a curated record.